GCCGUGUAUGGUGGCACACGUCUGUAGUCCCAGCUACUUGGGAGGCUGAGUCAAGAGGAUCACUUGAGCCCAGGAGUUCUGGGCUAUUGUGAACUAGGUGAUCGGGCGUCUGCACUAAGUUUGGCAUCAAUAUGGUGAUGUUUUGGGAGCAGGGGACCACCAGGUUGCCUAAGGUGUCUGAGGAGGGGUUUCCAGGUUGGAAAUGGAGCAGUUCGACACCCCCGAGCUGAUCAGUAGUGCGACUGCUCCUGUGAGUAGCCGCUGCACUCCAGCUUGGGCAGCAUAGCGCGACCCCACUUCU
Pan paniscus (pygmy chimpanzee) is the source of this 301-nucleotide unclassified non-coding RNA. It matches the Rfam family "Metazoan signal recognition particle RNA". From Rfam's summary of the family: The signal recognition particle (SRP) is a universally conserved ribonucleoprotein. It is involved in the co-translational targeting of proteins to membranes. Lineage: Eukaryota; Metazoa; Chordata; Mammalia; Primates; Hominidae. The record is from Ensembl.